This 491-nucleotide ribosomal RNA is filed under the name uncultured bacterium. RNAcentral describes it as "partial 16S ribosomal RNA". It matches the Rfam family "Bacterial small subunit ribosomal RNA", at positions 29 to 506 of the family's 1533-position model. The record is from RNAcentral.
AGUGAACGCUGGCGGUAGGCCUAACACAUGCAAGUCGAACGGCAGCACAGUAAGAGCUUGCUCUUACGGGUGGCGAGUGGCGGACGGGUGAGGAAUACAUCGGAAUCUACUUUUUCGUGGGGGAUAACGUAGGGAAACUUACGCUAAUACCGCAUACGACCUACGGGUGAAAGCAGGGGAUCUUCGGACCUUGCGCGAUUGAAUGAGCCGAUGUCGGAUUAGCUAGUUGGCGGGGUAAAGGCCCACCAAGGCGACGAUCCGUAGCUGGUCUGAGAGGAUGACCGCCAAACCGGGAACUGAGACCGGGGCCAACACCCUAGGGGGGGCAGGAGUGGGGAAUAUGGGACAAGGGGCGAAAGCUUGAUCCAGCCAACCCGGGGGGGUGAAGAAGGCCUGCGGGUUGUAAAGCCCUUUUUUUGGGAAAGAAAAGCAGCAGGUUAAUACCCCGCUGUUCUGACGGUACCCAAAAAAAAAGCACCGGCUAACUUCGU